UCUUUGACAUCCAUCUUAGCAAUUUUUUUAUUGGAUUUGUCUCCUCAGGAGAGGGAAACAAAAGUAAAAAUAAACAAAUGGGAUUACAUGACACUAAUAAGCUUUUGCACAGUGAAGGAAACUAUCAAAAAAACAAAAAGGCAGUCUACUGAAUGGGAGAAGGUAUUUGCAAAUCAUAUCACCAAUAGGGAGUUCAAAACCAAAAUAUACAAAGAACUCAUACAACUCAGUGUUAAAAAAAAAACCAGAAAACUCAAUUAAAAAGUGGGCAGAGGGCUUCCCUGGUGGUGCAGUGGUUGAGAAUCUGCCUGCCAAUGCAGGGGACACAGGUUCGAGCUGUGGUCUGGGAAGUUCCCACAUGCUGCGGAGCAACUGGGCCCGUGAGCCACAGCUACUGAGCCUGCGCGUCUGGAGCCUGUGAUCCGCAACAAGAGAGGCCGCGACAGUGAGAGGCCCACGCACCGCGAAGAAGAGUGGCCCCCGCUCACCGCAACUAGAGAAAGCCCUCGCACAGAAAUGAAGACCCAACACAGCCAAAUAAAUUAAUUAAUUAAUUAAAAAAAAAAAAAAGUGGGCAGAGAACCUGAACAGACAUUUUCCCAAAGAAGACAUACAGAUGGCCAACAGACACGUGAAUAGAUGUUCAACAUCACUGAUCAUCAGGGAAAUGCAAAUCACAUUCACAUUGAGACAUCACUUCACAUCUUUCAGAAUGGCUAUAAUCAAAAUGACAACAAAUAUCAAAUGUUGGCAAGGAUGGAGAAAAGGAACUUUCGUGCACUGUUGGUGGGAUUAUAAAUUGGUGCAGCCACUGUGAAAAAUAGUAUGGAGCCUGCUCAAAAAAUUAAAAAUAGAACUGCCAUAUGAUCCAGGAAUUUCACUUCUGGAUAUUGACCUGAAAAAAACAAAGCACUAAUUUGAAAAGCUUUUUUACCCUUAUGUUCACUGUCACAUUAUUUACAACAGCCAAGAUAUGAAAGCAAUGUAAGUGCCCACUGACAGAAAAAUGGAUAAAGAUGUGGUAUGUAUGUAUGUAUGAACGUAUGUAUGUAUACAUAGCUCUACAUAUAUACACAAUGGAAUAGUACUCAUCCAUAAAAAAGAAUGAAAUCUUGCCAUUUGUGGCAAUAUGGAUGGAUCUAGAAAGCAUCAUGCUAAGUGAAACAAGUCAGACAGAGAAAGACAAACACUGUAUGAUCUCACUUAUAUGUGGAAUCUAAAAACACAACAAACGAACAGAACAAAAUGAAAACAGACUCACAGAAACAGACAACAAACUGGUGGUUGCCAGAGGGGAAGGGGUGGAGUAGGUGAAUGAAAUAGGUGAAGGGGAUUAAGAGGUACAAAACUUCAGUUAUAUAAUAAGUCACGGGGAUGGAAUAUACAGCAUAAGGAAUAUGGUCAAUUAUACUGUAAUUACUUUUUAUGGGGACAGAGGGUUACUAGACGUAUUGUGUACACCUGAAACUAACCUAAUAUUGUAUGUCAAUUAUAUUUCAGUAAAAAAACAAGGGAAUCCAUUUAUGAGAUUGUUUUUUGUAACAUGUCAUCUUACUCAGUGGAAAUUUUUAGUAGAGUACUAGUCCGUAAUAAACAUUUGGGUUCUAGAAAUCCUGACUCAUCUAACAGGUAGAUACUCUAAGGGGUUGAAAAAUGAUGAUGUGGACUUUCUUUCCACUCAGUUGAAUCACUUUCAAACUUAGUAUUUUAUAUUUUACAGCCACAGAUCACUUCUCAGCCAUAAGAGUAAUUAGUAACAAAGUUUUUCUGCUUACCAUAGUUUUGAGAAUGGAGAAGCUGGAAGUGGGGCAACACACCUUUUCCUAUCAUAGAUGCCUUACUGAGUUCUCAGAACCUGAUUCUGGGUACAACAAUCAAUGCUGCCAUAUUUUCAAUUUUCCCCAUUCCUUUAAAGAACUCUGCAGCUCUGUGUUGGGGCAGUAAAUGAAUUCACAGCAAUGAGACAACAAAAAGAAUCAUUCAUGCACAUUCAAAUGUGAAUUUAAUGUGAAUGUAGGCUUCACCUUAUAUGUGGUUGCAAAAUCCCUAUCAGCAGAAUUUUGUUAGUAGAUUUCAUUACACUUUGUGUGCUGUUAGAGUUGAUGACAGUCCUUUGCCUAUGGCCAUGACUUAGAGGGAGACGUUUAUGUAUCUGCUGCUUCUGAUGACAUGUCCUAGAAGACUUUCUGAUAACUCAUUCUGGUUACUUUCUACUUUUUAUUGAUAACAAAUAAUAAUAAGAUUCCUCCCAGGUACAUCUACAUUUUAAUAGGAGAUGCCAUAAAGGGCUUCAGGAUUCAAAAACAAGCACCCAAAAUAGCAGAGGAUGAUCAGAUCAGAUCAGAUGCAAGUUUGUCAGAAGGACUUUUCUGACUCUUUCUCCAAUCACAUCAAAGAGAUUUCUCAAUGUCACAUGGGAAGUCACUUAUUUUGUCACUUUAAGAACAGACUACAAUGAUGGGCCCCCAGUUCGUCUGCACAAUCCUUUGAUGUGGUUGGCAGUUUGUUUUCUUUCUUUUUUCCACUGUGCUGACAUAGCAUCAUAGAAAUCAAAGGAGUGGAAUCCAAUAGUAGGGAUUCAGACCUAGGACAAACCCAAUGGGAGUAACUUUUUGAAGGUGAAUCAGUAAUUGACCAAAUUGCCAAAGUUUGUCUUCUGUUAUCUGCCUUGAAUCAUCCUUGUAUAAAACAGAAUGAGAACAAAAUAGCCCUUACUUUCAGGUCUUGGUGUUUGCAGUAGAAUUUAUGAAACAGCCCUCCAAACCUUAUGAACAGGAACUUGUACAGGCUUAGAAUUUGUAAAAUUCUAUACAUUCGACUCUUUUCUUCUUCCUUAACCUGACAUACAAGGUAAGAAACGGUACAUAAAACGUCAACAUGAAGAAAUGGCAACAUCAUUUAUUAAGAUUUCUAUGUUGGGAGAAAAGACAUAAAGUAUUCCUGAUCAAAAAUAUUAUUGAAUCUGUUGCUACACAUUAGGUGUCUUCUCACUUUGGCUUUAAAUAUUCGAUUUAGAGGAUCAGAGUACUAUUCAGUUGUCCAAAGUGAUGACCUGUUCAGCAAUCCCUGUUAAAACUAACACCAUCUUCACUCCCUGCCCAGGAUCCCAGGUUGAGAUUUAACCCUGUGUAGGAGUAGGUGACUUGUGUUAGUUACCUACUACUACAUAACAAAUAACGCCAAAAUUCAGUGGCUUAAACAAUACAGAGACAGCAGAAGCAAGAAGAACUACAAUCCUGCAGCCUGUGGAACACAAACCACAUUCACAGAAAGACAGACAAGAUGAAAAGGCAGAGGGCUACGUACCAGAUGAAGGAAAAAGAUAAAACCCCAGAAAAACAACUAAAUGAGGUGAAGAUAGGAAAACUUCAAGAAAAAAGAAUUCAGAAUAAUGAUAGUGAAGAUAAUCCAGGACAUUGGAAAAAGAAUGGAGGCCAAGAUUGAGAAGAUGCAAGAAAUGUUUUUGUUAAAGAGCUGGAAGAAUUAAAGAAUAAACAAACAGAGAUGAACAAUACAAUAACUGAAAUGAAAAAUACACUAGAAGGAAUCAAUAGUAGAAUAACUGAGGCAGAAGAACGGAUAAGUGACCUGGAAGACAGAAUGGUGGAAUUCACUGCUGUGGAACAGAAUAAAGAAAAAAGAAUAAAAAGAAAUGAAGACAGCCUAAGUGACCUCUGGGACAACAUUAAUCGCAACAACAUUCACGUUAUAUGGGUCCCAGAAGGAGAAGGCGAGAGAAAGGACCCGAGAAAAUAUCUGAAGAGAUUAGAGUCAAAACCUUCCCUAACAUGGGAAAGGAAAUAGCCACCCAGGUCCAGGAAGCACAGAGAGUCCCAGGAAGGACAAACCCAAGGAGAAACAUGCCAAGACACAUAGUAAUCAAACUGACAAAAAUUAAAGACAAAGAAAAAUUAUUGAAAGCAACAAGGGAAAAACAACAAAUAACAUACAAAGGAACUCCCAUAAGGAUAACAGCUGAUUUCUCAGCAGAAACUCUACAAGCCAGAAGGGAGUGGCAUGAUAUACUUAAAGUGAUGAAAGGGAAGAAACUACAAAGAAGAUUACUCUACCCAGCAAGGAUCUCAUUCAGAUUUGAUGGAGAAAUCAAAAGCUUUACAGACAAGCCAAAGUUAAGAGAAUUCAGCAUCACCAAACCAGCUAGAAAACAAAUGCUAAAGGAAGUUCUCUAACUGGGAAACACAAGAGAAGAAAAGGACCUACAAAAACAAACCCAUAACAAUUAAGAAAAUGGUAAUAGGAACAUACAUAUCGAUAAUUACCUUAAACGUGACUGGAUUAAAUGCUCCAGCCAAAAGACACAGUCUUGCUGAGUGGGUACAAAAAUAAGACCCAUAGAUACGCUGUCUACAAGAGACCCACUUCAGACCUAGGGACACAUACAGACUGAAAGUGAGGGAAUGGAAAAAGAUAUUCCAUGCAAAUGGAAAUCAAAAGAAAGCUGGAGUGGCAAUACUCAUACCAGAUAAAAUAGACUUUAAAAUAAAUAAUGUUACAAAAGACAAGGAAGGACACUACAUAAUGAUCAAGGGAUCAAUCCAAGAAGAUAUAGCAAUUAUAAAUAUAUAUGCACCCAACAUAGGAGUACCUCAAUAAAUAAGGCAACUGCUAACAGUUAUGAAAGAGGAAAUCGACAGUAACAUAAUAAUAGUGGGGGAUUUUAACACCUCACUUACACCAAUGGACAGAUCAUCCAAACAGAAAAUUAAUAAGGAAACACAGGCUUUAAAUGACACAAUAGACCAGAUAGAGUUAACUGAUAUUUAUAGGACAUUCCAUCCAAAAACAGCAGAUUACACUUUCUUCUCAAGUGCACACAGAACAUUCUCCAGGAUAGAUCACAUUUUGGGUCACAAACCAAGCUUCAGUAAAUUUAAGAAAACUGAAAUCAUAUCCAGUAUCUUUUCUGACCAUAAUGCUAUGAGAUUAGAACUCAAUUACAGGGAAGAAAACAUAAAAAACACAAACACAUGGAGGCUAAACAAUACAUUCCUAAAUAACCAAGAGAUCACUGAAGAAAUCAAAGAGGAAAUGAAAAAAUACCUAGAGACAAAUUACAACGAAAACACGAUGAUCCAAAACCUAUGGGAUGCAGCAAAAGCAGUUCUAAGAGGGAAGUUUAUAGCAAUACAAGCCUACCUCAAGAAACAAGAAAAAUCUCAAGUAAAUAAUCUAACCUUACACAUACAGGAACUAGAGAAAGAAGAAGAAACAAAACCCAACGUUAGUAGAAGGAAAGGAAUCAUAAAGAUCAGAGCAGAAAUAAAUGGAAGAGAAACAAAGAAAACAAUAGCCAAGAUCAAUAAAACUAAAAGCUGGUUCUUUGAGAAGAUAAACAAAAUUGAUAAACCAUAGGCCAGACUCACCAAGAAAAAGAGGGAGAGGACUCAUAUCAAUAAAAUUAGAAAUGAAAAAGGAGAAGUUACAACAGACACCGCAGAAAUACAAAGCAACCUAAGAGACUACUACAAGCAACUCUAUGCCAAUAAAAUGGACAAUGUGGAAAAAGUGGACAAAUUCUUAGAAAGGUAUAACCUUCCAAGACUGAACAAGGAAGAAACAGAAAAUAUGAACAGACCAAUCACAAGUAAUGAAAUUGAAACUGUGAUUAAAAUUCUUCCAAGAAACAAAAAGUCCAGGACUAGAUGGCUUCACAGGUGAAUUCUAUCAAAUAUUUAGAGAAGAGCUAACACCCAUCCUUCUCAAACUCUUCCAAAAAAUUGCAGAGGAAGGAACACUCCCAAACUCAUUCUAUGAGGCCACCAUCACCCUGAUACCAAAACCAGAUAAAGAUACUACAAAAAAAGAAAAUUACAGACCAAUAUCACUGAUGAAUAUAGAUGUAAAAAUCCUCAACAAAAUACUAGCAAACAGAAUCCAACAACACAUUAAAAGGAUCAUACACCAUGAUCAAGUGGGAUUUAUCCCAGGGAUGCAAGGAUUCUUCAAUAUAUGCAAAUCAAUCAAUGUGAUACACCAUAUUAACAAAUUGAGGAGUAAAAAAAAAGAAAA
Molecule: long non-coding RNA, 6030 nt
Organism: Orcinus orca (killer whale)
Lineage: Eukaryota; Metazoa; Chordata; Mammalia; Artiodactyla; Delphinidae
Exons: 2
Source: RefSeq, a predicted model, not a curated record